CACGGUAAGGAUUGACGGACUGAAGGCUCUUUCUCGAUUCCGUGGAAAGUGGUGCAUGGCCGUUUUGGUGGUGGAUCGAUCCGUCUGGUUAAUUCCGUUAACGAACGAGACCUCGGCACUCCGAAUAGCGCGGCGGACGUCGCGGCCUCCGGGCCGUCUUCCGCACGAGCUUCUUAGAGGGACCGUCCCCCGCCGGGGAAGGAGGUGCGAGGCAACGACAGGUCUGUGAUGCCCUUAGAUGUUCUGGGCCGCACGCGCAUUACACUGACGCGUCCAACGGGUGACUCCCGACCCGAAGGGGCCGGGGAAUCCGCAAGGCGCGUCGUGAUGGGGAUUGAACGUUGCAAUUGUUGUUCACGAACGAGGAAUUCCUAGUAGGCGCGGGUCAUCAACCCGCGCCGAUUACGUCCCUGCCC
Molecule: ribosomal RNA, 416 nt
Filed under: uncultured eukaryote
Lineage: Eukaryota
Description: bacterial SSU rRNA
Rfam family: Eukaryotic small subunit ribosomal RNA
Source: RNAcentral